UACGUAGGGUGCAAGCGUUAAUCGGAAUUACUGGGCGUAAAGCGUGCGCAGGCGGCUAUGCAAGACAGAUGUGAAAUCCCCGGGCUCAACCUGGGAACUGCAUUUGUGACUGCAUGGCUAGAGUACGGUAGAGGGGGAUGGAAUUCCGCGUGUAGCAGUGAAAUGCGUAGAUAUGCGGAGGAACACCGAUGGCGAAGGCAAUCCCCUGGACCUGUACUGACGCUCAUGCACGAAAGGCGUGGGGAGCAAACGAGG
This 255-nucleotide ribosomal RNA is filed under the name uncultured bacterium. RNAcentral's name for it is "partial 16S ribosomal RNA". It matches the Rfam family "Bacterial small subunit ribosomal RNA", at positions 524 to 777 of the family's 1533-position model. The record is from RNAcentral.